UGGGUAAUCUUGUGAAACUUCAUCGUGAUGGGGAUAGAGCAUUGCAAUUAUUGCUCUUCAACGAGGAAUCCCUAGUAAGCAUGAGUCAUCAGCUCAUGUUGAUUACGUCCCUGCCCUUUGUACACACCGCCCGUCGCUACUACCGAUUGAAUGGCUUAGUGAGACCUUUGGAUUGGGGUUUAAGAAUCGGCAACGAAUUUUAUUCUCCGAGAAGUCGGUCAAACUUGGUCAUUUAGAGGAAGUAAAAGUCGUAACAAGGUUUCCGUAGGUGAACCUGCGGAAGGAUCAUUAAAAACUUUUAUCCGGGAAUUCGUUUCGUUUUCCCGGAUUAUUUGUAUUCAAAUCCCACUCUUUAUAAAUAAUAUCAAUUAUAUAAACAAAUAUAAAAAAAGAAAACUUUCAACAACGGAUCUCUUGGCUCUCGCAUCGA
This 430-nucleotide ribosomal RNA is filed under the name uncultured Glomeromycotina. Its description in RNAcentral is "partial 28S ribosomal RNA". The stretch from base 1 to 291 matches the Rfam family "Eukaryotic small subunit ribosomal RNA", at positions 1543 to 1831 of the family's 1831-position model. Lineage: Eukaryota; Fungi; Glomeromycota. The record is from RNAcentral.